AGUGAACGCUGGCGGUAGGCCUAACACAUGCAAGUCGAACGGCAGCACAGUAAAAGCUUGCUCUUACGGGUGGCGAGUGGCGGACGGGUGAGGAAUACAUCGGAAUCUACUUUUUCGUGGGGGAUAACGUAGGGAAACUUACGCUAAUACCGCAUACGACCUACGGGUGAAAGCAGGGGAUCUUCGGACCUUGCGCGAUUGAAUGAGCCGAUGUCGGAUUAGCUAGUUGGCGGGGUAAAGGCCCACCAAGGCGACGAUCCGUAGCUGGUCUGAGAGGAUGAUCAGCCACACUGGAACUGAGACACGGUCCAGACUCCUGCGGGAGGCAGCAGUGGGGAAUAUUGGACAAUGGGCGCAAGCCUGAUCCAGCCAUGCCGCGUGGGUGAAGAAGGCCUUCGGGUUGUAAAGCCCUUUGUUGGGAAAGAAAAGCAGCAGGUUAAUACCCCGCUGUUCUGACGGUACCCAAAGAAUAAGCACCGGCUAACUUCGUG
Molecule: ribosomal RNA, 491 nt
Filed under: uncultured bacterium
Lineage: Bacteria
Description: partial 16S ribosomal RNA
Rfam family: Bacterial small subunit ribosomal RNA
Source: RNAcentral